GAUGAACGCUGACAGAAUGCUUAACACAUGCAAGUCUUUGGCGAAGCUGUGCUUGCACAGCCUAGCCAAGGCGGACGGGUGAGUAACGCGUAAGGAACUGCCCUGCAGUCAGGGAUAACAGACGGAAACGACUGAUAAGACCUGGUAAAGUCAGGCGGACUCAUGUCCAGCCUGAUGAAAAGAGAUGCUGCAGGAGAGCCUUGCGUCCUAUUAGCUUGUUGGUGGGGUAACGGCCCACCAAGGCGAUGAUAGGUAGCCGGCCUGAGAGGGUGGACGGCCACAAGGGGACUGAGAUACGGCCCUUACUCCUACGGGAGGCAGCAGUGGGGAAUAUUGGACAAUGGGGGCAACCCUGAUCCAGCAAUUCUGUGUGCACGAUGAAGGUUUUCGGAUUGUAAAGUGCUUUCAGCAGGGAAGAAAAAAAUGACGGUACCUGCAGAAGAAGCGACGGCUAAAUACGUG
This 462-nucleotide ribosomal RNA is filed under the name uncultured bacterium. RNAcentral describes it as "partial 16S ribosomal RNA". It matches the Rfam family "Bacterial small subunit ribosomal RNA", at positions 28 to 507 of the family's 1533-position model. The record is from RNAcentral.